Molecule: ribosomal RNA, 340 nt
Filed under: Ehrlichia ewingii
Lineage: Bacteria; Pseudomonadati; Pseudomonadota; Alphaproteobacteria; Rickettsiales; Anaplasmataceae
Description: bacterial SSU rRNA
Rfam family: Bacterial small subunit ribosomal RNA
Source: RNAcentral
UAGUGGCAGACGGGUGAGUAAUGCGUAGGAAUCUACCUAGUAGUAUGGAAUAGCCAUUAGAAAUGAUGGGUAAUACUGUAUAAUCCCUGCGGGGGAAAGAUUUAUCGCUAUUAGAUGAGCCUACGUUAGAUUAGCUAGUUGGUAAGGUAAUGGCUUACCAAGGCUAUGAUCUAUAGCUGGUCUGAGAGGACGAUCAGCCACACUGGAACUGAGAUACGGUCCAGACUCCUACGGGAGGCAGCAGUGGGGAAUAUUGGACAAUGGGCGAAAGCCUGAUCCAGCUAUGCCGCGUGAGUGAAGAAGGCCUUCGGGUUGUAAAGCUCUUUCAAUAGGGAAGAUA